Molecule: ribosomal RNA, 403 nt
Filed under: uncultured bacterium
Lineage: Bacteria
Description: partial 16S ribosomal RNA
Rfam family: Bacterial small subunit ribosomal RNA
Source: RNAcentral
GACGAACGCUGGCGGCGUGCCUAAUACAUGCAAGUCGAACGCAGUGGGGACGGGUGAGUAACACGUGGGUAACCUCCCAUCAGAGGGGAUAACACUUGGAAACAGGUGCUAAACCGAUACUGAUGGACGGACCCGCGGUGCAUUCGCUAGUUGGUGAGGUAACGGCUCACCAAGGCCACGAUGCAUAGCCGACCUGGGAGGGUGAUCGGCGCCACUGGGACUGGUACACGGCCCAGGCUCCUACGGGAGGCAGCAGUAGGGACUCUUCGGCAAUAGACGGAAGUCUGACCGAGCAACGCCGCGUGAGUUAGGAAGGUUUUCAGAUCGUAAAGCUCUGUUGUAAGAGAAGCGGUAUCUUACCAGAAAGGGACGGCUAACUACGUGCCAGCAGCCGCGGUAAUAC